GCCCGGCCCACUUCUAGCCCUAAAAAUAGUGGAUUAUCACCCCAAAUUUCAUGGAGGAAAAGUCGACUAUUUUAUGAGCCCAGUAGCCAGAAUUUUCUACCAUUGAAGUGUCUUGGAAGAUCAGUCUCUACAUGAUGAAUUUCAAUGUUCUGCUUUCUGAUUUUUCAUGCAGAACUCUGUUAUCUAUUUGCUUUGACUCUUCUAUGUAUAUUCUUCUCUCCUUUCUAUGCUGUAUCAUAUUUUCUAAUUAUAAAUAAAAUAGAUGGCUAAGCC
Molecule: long non-coding RNA, 273 nt
Filed under: Elaeis guineensis (African oil palm)
Lineage: Eukaryota; Viridiplantae; Streptophyta; Magnoliopsida; Arecales; Arecaceae
Description: long non-coding RNA (EGUI_LNC014674)
Source: RNAcentral